AUAUGGAGAACCACCGGUAGAUCCUCUGACCACAUAUAGCAUUACCAUACACAGGAUGCGUACCGCAUAUACUCCGUCCCAAUACCAACUGGAGGGCAUAUAGCGGGGGAGGUUCUGAGUUCUGAUGUUUGAAGCUUGGUCUGCAACUCUCAUCAUUCAUGGCAAAUACACUGAGGUCUUAUUUGACAUGCAUAAGGAACACAUUGGAAGCUGCAAUGUGUCUCCAGAACUUUCCUUGUCAAGAAGUUGAGAGACACAACAAGCCAGAAGUUGAAUUGCAGACCAGUGCAGAACUUCUGCUGAAUCCCGUUUUGAUCUGUCGAAAUGAGGCCGAGAAAUGCUUAAUAGAAACAUCCGUAAAUUCCCUUCGCAUCAGUAUCAAGGUAAAGCAGGCAGAUGAGCUUGAGAACAUACUAACUAAAAAGUUUCUUAGAUUUUUGUCCAUGAGGGCUGAGGCUUUUCAAGUGCUGAGGAGGAAGCCAGUCCAGGGAUAUGAUAUUAGCUUUCUUAUCACUAAUUAUCACUGUGAAGAGAUGCACAAGCAUAAGCUUAUAGAUUUCAUUGUGCAGUUUAUGGAGCAGUUUGUUGGGAACAAUUUGGUGGGGAAGCUCCCAAGAUUCAGAUAUUUGGUGUUCGUAUCCUAAACCAAACUUGCAAUGCUAAUGGCUGUGAAAGGAAUUGGGGCAUUUCCCAUGCAUCCACAUGGAUGAGUGAAAUAGGUUGGAGCACAAGAGGUUCAAUGACUUGGUCUUUGUGAUAGAACUUGAGGUUGUGGCAGAGGACCAUGCAAAGGCUCAUAUUCUUGGACCCAAUUGACUGACGGAUGGCUUGUUGAGAAAGAGUGGUGGGUUCUUGAAUGCAUUGAAGAGCAACUGGAUAGUUGGCUGGAGGUUGAACCACCACAAAGGACAUAGAUAAGGAGAUAAGUGAGCUGAAGCUAUCAGUGAACACAAGGGGACGACUUGUGGCAACUGAAUUCCUGAAGCAAUUCGUCUAAGAGCUGCUUGGAUAUGCCACAUCCUACCAUAAUGAGUUCUUGUAUACUCAUGUUUGCAAUAUAGUUACAGUAACAGCUUCAGAAAAAACAAGUUUGCAAUAUAGUUGAACUGUAAAGUCCAGAACAGGUUUUAUCAAUGAAUAGGUUAAGUUUAGUGGGUAUUUUUUUGUCGAUAAUAUACUUUAUGUUGUCUAAACAAGAGUAACAACAAUUGAUGGGUUGGUUUGAGACUUGGUAUUUUCUCUCACUUGGGAUAUGCAAAUUAUAAGAUUUUUAUUUUUUA
RNA transcript from Amborella trichopoda, 1280 nucleotides. It is a transcript of the gene named binding protein, with no coding region annotated. NCBI's taxonomy places the organism in Eukaryota, Viridiplantae, Streptophyta, Magnoliopsida, Amborellales, Amborellaceae. The record is from RefSeq and is a predicted model, not a curated record.